CGUGUUUCUGCUCAGUCGCACACUCAAAUCCUGCGUGUUUUGAGUUCCUGCGGGAGCAGUUUUAAGGGGACCGGAACGGCAUUUCGGCUUUGCACCUUAUUAGCACUAGAGUUUAGUCAACACCUUUACACCAUGGGGUGGUAAGGGGGCGGAGGUAGGAGCCAGGAGGCGGCCAGCUAAUCUGCAGAGGGAGACUAUCUGCGGCUUCUCCAGGACCGCUCUGCCAGACUCUCAGCAUUCAGCCGAAAACGAGAGCCGCUCUUCCCAUCCAGUCGGGGGAAAUCUGGGCACGGCUGGCCAACCUCUUGAAACGGAGUCUUAUUGUAUUUUCUAGUGUGAUGCAUGAAUUUAUAUAUGGAAUAUGUGCAGUUCAUUUUUACCUAUUUCACUUUAUGGCCACAGUUCGGAUCAUCGCCUGUGCUCCCUGAUUGAUUUCCUCCUGGGCUCCUCAUUUUCCUGCGAUUCAGAAAGUCGCUUUGAGACAGUCUCGAUGCAUUCGAAAGGGACACUUCUAGAAGCAGCGAAGGUGAUGUGGUAGAGAUGGCCGGAGCGUGGACAGCGGGCGUAGUGCGGUUCCUGCUCUUAGUCAAGGAAAGGGGCCCAAGUCAUGAGAGCACUCUUGUAAAAAUGUCGGUGCGAGUUUGAGGUGACGUAAUGUCCAAAUGAAACCAUGUUAAUGCAAUGCUAUGGAGAUGAUGUUACACUGUUAAAGACGGAAUAAAAUUCUGCUAACACAA
Ornithorhynchus anatinus (platypus) is the source of this 737-nucleotide long non-coding RNA. RefSeq lists it as uncharacterized. Lineage: Eukaryota; Metazoa; Chordata; Mammalia; Monotremata; Ornithorhynchidae. The record is from RefSeq and is a predicted model, not a curated record. The transcript is spliced from 3 exons.